Molecule: long non-coding RNA, 333 nt
Filed under: Bos taurus (domestic cattle)
Lineage: Eukaryota; Metazoa; Chordata; Mammalia; Artiodactyla; Bovidae
Description: long non-coding RNA NONBTAT024664
Source: RNAcentral
AGAAGCCUUCUGAGGUUCUAGUAUAGAAGUUUAGAGGUGGUCUGUGUACUUCAGUGGCCUCUUAAAUGGGUCAGCUGAUGUUACCCCCAUUUUUUUCACACAGUGCCCAGGGGAAAAACUCCUAAAGGCCACUCUGAGGCCAGUCUUAGUCUGGCAGAGAGGGAGUCGGUGAAACCCUAGGAAUUUAGGGCUGUGUGGGUGGGGCCUAGGACAAAGUGGUGGCAAGUGGACGAGGCUCAGGGGGUCCCAUUGGCCCACCCCCAACUUUAAUCAGAGUCAUUCAGUAUUUACCUGUUUAUAUGUAGUAGCUGUGUGGUCUUGGGCCACAGCAAG